GUGGCAGGAUAAAUUGCUAGCCUGCAAUUAUAGUAAAAUCUCAGACCCUUCACAGUUCUUGACAGCAGCUUUACCAAGAACACCCUGUUCCAAAUGAGAGCUGUUCCAAAGGUGUUGCUGAGGUCACAGUAGAGAUGCCCAAGGAAGACUUCAGCUUCAAGUGCCCUGAGAGAGAGGUGUCUGGGAUAGGAGUGCAGGACAGACUGUAUACAGGAAAAGGACUGGUCUUGGCUCCUUCCAGCCUGAAUGGGUUGUUGAUGUCCUAUGACAUUUAAGAUCGAAUGAUCCAGAACAUAUUGAAGAUGUUGAACUACCAUGGCCAAUAUAAAUACCCUGGUGGGGCCUUAAAGCAAGACCACCCUCCAAAUGGUAC
Molecule: long non-coding RNA, 373 nt
Organism: Choloepus didactylus (southern two-toed sloth)
Lineage: Eukaryota; Metazoa; Chordata; Mammalia; Pilosa; Megalonychidae
Exons: 3
Source: RefSeq, a predicted model, not a curated record